GCAAACUUGGUCAUUUAGAGGAAGUAAAAGUCGUAACAAGGUUUCCGUAGGUGAACCUGCGGAAGGAUCAUUAACGAGAUUCGUCGGGGGCGGUGCCGGAUGACGUGCACGCCUCCUUCAAACCCUCAUCCAUUCACCCCUGUGCACCUCUAUGAGAUCGGUGGGGAGCGUUUCUCUCUCCCCCUGAUCUGACUCAUCUUGACACUGCAAAAGCGAGGGAACGUGUGGAUCAUAACGAAUACAUAACUUUCAACAACGGAUCUCUUGGUUCUCGCAUCGAUGAAGAACGCAGC
This 293-nucleotide unclassified non-coding RNA is filed under the name uncultured fungus. RNAcentral describes it as "partial contains small subunit ribosomal RNA, internal transcribed spacer 1, and 5.8S ribosomal RNA". The stretch from base 1 to 73 matches the Rfam family "Eukaryotic small subunit ribosomal RNA", at positions 1759 to 1831 of the family's 1831-position model. The record is from RNAcentral. Lineage: Eukaryota; Fungi.